RNAcentral lists this long non-coding RNA (954 nucleotides) under Homo sapiens (human). RNAcentral describes it as "small nucleolar RNA host gene 17". The stretch from base 3 to 136 matches the Rfam family "Small nucleolar RNA SNORA71". Lineage: Eukaryota; Metazoa; Chordata; Mammalia; Primates; Hominidae. The record is from RNAcentral.
GCUCCUGCAUCCGAAAGUGAUCAUAGGCUGCCUGUGCCUAGGUCAUUGAUAGUGCAGGGAGAGGAACGCUGAAAGAGGUUGUCCCCGUGUUUGGAGGGUCCACCCUAUCCCAUCCGAACCCUGAAGCUUUCACACAACUCCUGUUGCUCUCCUGCCAGCCCUUGAGGAGUCCGGCGCUUGCUUGGCUGCCACAUGAAAGAUUGUCAGCUGACCUCUGUCCUGUGUGCCCAGUGGCCCCAGGUGACGUGUCUUCAAGAAGAGGCUGAGCUGCGGUGCUUGUAAGGGUCUCAUUCUGUCACCCAGGCUGGAGUGCAGUGGUGCAAUGAUGGCUCACUGCAGCCUCGACCUGGGCUCAAGUGAUCCUCCACCUCAGCUUCCUGAGUAGCUGGGACCACAGAGUCAUGUGCUGUUCCUGGGGCUUGGAUGAUGUAGGGGAAGCAAGGUGAAAGUGGUAUCCCGUGGUUCCACGUUCUGUCCUGCUGUGGGGCUGUCCCUCACAUGCUUUCAGUGGCUGUUGCAGAGGAAGAGCCUCCGGAAAUCUGCGUGGGUAAAGUCUCAGCCUUAGAUCCAAGGACAGUCCAAGGAAGUCCUAAGACCAUGGAGUUGGUGAUCUGGGAUCUGGGUUUGCUGAUAUUUCUCACCGUGAAUCUCUUGGUGGUGUUUGUGGGCACGAGAGGGGCAGAGAAUGGAGAGUGAGGCUACCACAUGAAGCGUCACCAGAGCUGCUCCCUGCUGCCUGCUCAGAGCACCCCGGAUCCACUGUUCAAUCUGCACAAGAUUCGGGGUCCAGACAUGGGAGACUUCAGCUGCCUCAGAGGACCGUGGACAGGGAAGGCCAGCCUCGCAUCCCUCUGUCCAUGCCUGGAAUGACUUUAAUAACCAAGAGUUUUAUUUUUGAAUUUGUAGCUGUCGUUCACUUUUUACCCACCCAUUCAAUAAACCUUACAGAAUUGC